RNAcentral lists this ribosomal RNA (252 nucleotides) under uncultured bacterium. RNAcentral's name for it is "partial 16S ribosomal RNA". It matches the Rfam family "Bacterial small subunit ribosomal RNA", at positions 524 to 775 of the family's 1533-position model. The record is from RNAcentral.
UACGAAGGGUGCAAGCGUUACUCGGAAUUAUUGGGCGUAAAGCGCACGUAGGCGGUUCGUUAAGUCGGAUGUGAAAGCCCUCGGCUCAACUGAGGAAGUGCACCCGAAACUGGCGAGCUUGAGUACGAAAGAGGAUCGCGGAAUUCCCGGUGUAGAGGUGAAAUUCGUAGAUAUCGGGAGGAACACCGGUGGCGAAGGCGGGUCUCUGGGCCGAUACUGACGCUGAGGAGCGAAAGCGUGGGGAGCGACAGG